AAAUAAUAUAGAAAAGAUGCUCUCUUUGAUAAAUGGUGGUAGGGAAACUGGAAGCUACAUACAAAAGAAUGACACUGGACCACUUUCUUACACCAUACACA
Mustela erminea (ermine) is the source of this 101-nucleotide long non-coding RNA. RefSeq lists it as uncharacterized. The transcript has 3 exons. NCBI's taxonomy places the organism in Eukaryota, Metazoa, Chordata, Mammalia, Carnivora, Mustelidae. The record is from RefSeq and is a predicted model, not a curated record.